GGGCUUUGGACCUCGUCGUCGCCGGCAGAGAUGAAGAAUCCCGGUGAAAGCUCCGGCAAGGCUGGGAGGUUCAGGUCAAAGUCGCGGUGGCUGUGACUCUGUGUGUGGGUGGACCCAACCCCUUCCGAAGAUGUCACAGCGGCGGGGGCGGCGGCGUUGUUGUGACUCUGUAUGUGAUUGUUGCUGUUGUUGUUGUUACCGAGUCCGCCGUCGUAGUGGCAACGUUUGUGGCCGCCUAAGGCUUGACCGGUGGGGAAAGACUUGUGACAAAUAGAGCACUCGUGGGAUUUACCUCCACCGACGGAGGCGGUGGCGGUGGCGGUGGCGGU
This 329-nucleotide unclassified non-coding RNA is filed under the name Hevea brasiliensis (rubber tree). The record is from RNAcentral. Lineage: Eukaryota; Viridiplantae; Streptophyta; Magnoliopsida; Malpighiales; Euphorbiaceae.